GUUGGUCUUACGAGAAUGGAGAGCUGCUACUGAUCUACGAGUACAUGCCCAAUGGCAGCGUAGACAAGCACCUGUUCCACGAAAAGCAGCAGCACCGUGGCCACCAACAGCCAGUUCUGCCCUGGGGGAGACGCUACGACAUUGUGAAGGACGUCGCCGCUGGUUUGCACUAUGUCCACCACGAGUACGAGCGCACGGUGCUCCACCGCGACAUCAAGGCCAGCAACAUCAUGCUCGACCCGGCCUUCCGCGGCCGCCUCGGCGACUUCGGCCUCGCGCGGGUCGUCGGCUUAGACAAGAACUCCUUCACCGACAUCGGCGUCGCGGGCACCUGGGGCUUCAUCGCGCCGGAGUACCCCGUCAGCCACAAGGCCACCCGGCAGACCGACGUCUACGCGUUCGGGGUGCUGGUCCUCGAGGUCGUCACCGGCAGGAGGUCCCUCGGCAAAGCGGACGACGAGUUCCCGCUGCUGGUCGAUUGGGUUUGGUGGCUCCAUCAAGAGGGGAGGCUGCUGGACGCGGGGUUGGACGCCGACGAUGCCGCCCGGCUGCUGCUCCUUGGCCUGUCAUGCAGCAACCCGAACCCAUCGGACCGGCCGACCCUGGCCAACGUGCUGCAGGUUGUCGCGAAGACGGCGCCGCUGCCGGACGUGCCGCUGGUGAAGCCCGCGUUUGUGUGGCCGCCGGAGGGGGCGUUACUGGACGACGACGUUGAUGAUGGUUUUGCGGGGACGAGCCGUGAUGAUUCUCGGUACUGGGAGGAGGAGACCAUGCCGAGCUUCAUGUCGUCGGAGAUCACCAAGCGCAGCCACUCCGCAGAUUCUGGGAGGCGAUGGAUUGCCGAACAGGGCCUUAAAUACGUAUAA
Molecule: ribosomal RNA, 866 nt
Filed under: Triticum aestivum (bread wheat)
Lineage: Eukaryota; Viridiplantae; Streptophyta; Magnoliopsida; Poales; Poaceae
Description: partial small subunit ribosomal RNA
Source: RNAcentral